This 424-nucleotide ribosomal RNA is filed under the name uncultured bacterium. RNAcentral's name for it is "bacterial SSU rRNA". It matches the Rfam family "Bacterial small subunit ribosomal RNA", at positions 359 to 774 of the family's 1533-position model. The record is from RNAcentral.
GAAUAUUGGACAAUGGGGGGAGCCCUGAUCCAGCCAUGCCGCGUGUGUGAAGCAGGCCUUUUGGUUGUAAAGCACUUUAAGCGAGGAGGAGGCUACUCUAGUUAAUACCUAGGGUUAGUGGCCGUUGCUCGCAGCAUAAGCCCCGGCUAACUCUUUGCCAUCAGCCUCGGUAAUACAGAGGGUGCAAGCGUUAAUCGGAUUUACUGGGCGUAAAGCGCGCGUAGGUGGCCAAUUAAGUCAAAUGUGAAAUCCCCGAGCUUAACUUGGGAAUUGCAUUCGAUACUGGUUGGCUAGAGUAUGGGAGAGGAUGGUAGAAUUCCAGGUGUAGCGGUGAAAUGCGUAGAGAUCUGGAGGAAUACCGAUGGCGAAGGCAGCCAUCUGGCCUAAUACUGACACUGAGGUGCGAAAGCAUGGGGAGCAAACA